GAUGAAGAACGCAGCGAAAUGCGAUAAGUAGUGUGAAUUGCAGAAUUCAGUGAAUCAUCGAAUCUUUGAACGCACAUUGCGCCCCUUGGUAUUCCGGGGGGCAUGCCUGUUCGAGCGUCAUUUCAACCCUCAAGCUCAGCUUGGUAUUGAGUCCAUGUCAGUAAUGGCAGGCUCUAAAAUCAGUGGCGGCGCCGCUGGGUCCUGAACGUAGUAAUAUCUCUCGUUACAGGUUCUCGGUGUGCUUCUGCCAAAACCCAAAUUUUCUAUGGUUGACCUCGGAUCAGGUAGGGAUACCCGCUGAACUUAAGCAUAUCAAUAAGCGGAGGA
RNAcentral lists this unclassified non-coding RNA (327 nucleotides) under soil metagenome. Its description in RNAcentral is "partial contains 5.8S ribosomal RNA, internal transcribed spacer 2, and large subunit ribosomal RNA". The stretch from base 1 to 120 matches the Rfam family "5.8S ribosomal RNA", at positions 35 to 154 of the family's 154-position model. The record is from RNAcentral.